CCAUUGGGGGCUGGCAUGGGGAACCCAUCAACAAAUAAUUUUAAAUCAUAGUAGAUUUCAUGACAUGUUGCCAUGGCAGUUAAAGUACAAGUAAAAGAUUGUGGCUAAUCCAUCAGGGCCCAGCAUAGGGAACACAUCAACAAAUAAUUUUAAAUUAUGGUGAUAUAUAUUUUGAUAUGUAUUUUAAUCUGUAUAAUUUUGUCUUUUAUGAUAUGUUUUAUAUUAUAUGUUUUAUAGGAUACUAGCUGUGCCCGGCCACGCGUUGCUGUGGCGAAGUAUGGUGGAGCUUAGCCUUCUAACUGGCAGCAAUUGGAUAAAAGCAAUUAUUCCUCUCUCUCUAAUUAGGACCUUAUUUUUCUUUUCUUUUUGUUGUAUCAACCUAGAGCCGUGGGUGAUGGGUUGUGUUGUCAAAUUUUGACGUUGGGGGCCUGUAGUUUUGUUGUUUUGUGGGUUGCCGUGAUGCCAUCACUCUUUUAUAUAUAUAGAUUAUAGUGCUAUGAUUCCACUUCAACUACCAAUGGCAGCAUCCUAUGGAUCUCCUUUAUCAAUAAUCUUAAAUACCUCUCCGUAAACUUUAAAUCCCUAAAUUGCACUUAAAAGUGUUAGAAAAACUUUUAAGCACUUUGCAUUUCACACUUUAAAUGUAACUAUCAUGCAGUAAAACAUAUAGAUAACUCAGCAAAAUGCAUGGCCUGGUCAUGAAGAACAUGGGAAUAAUGUUCUUCAUGCUGUGGUGGUGCAAUGGAUUAAACCCUUGUGCUGCUGAACUGCUAACCUGAAGGUUGGCAGUUUGAAUCCAUGGGAUAGGGUGAGCUCCUGCUGUUAGUCCUAGCUCCUGCCAACCUAGCAGUUUGAAAACAUGCAAAUAUAAGUAGAUCAAUAGGUACCACUUCGAUAGGAAAAGGUAAGCAGUCAUGCUGGCCACACAACCAGGAGGUGUCUAUGGACGCAGGCUCCUCAGCUUGGAAAUGGAGAAAGAGCACUUCCCUUAGAGCCAGAGAUGAGCCGGAAAUGAAAGGAGAAGCCUUUGUCUGUGUAUUUGUCUCAUUGUAUGUCAUUGUAAUCAAGGCAUUGCAUGUUUGCCUGUGUUUGUUUAUAUAAUGUAAACCACUCUGAGUCCUCUCGGAGAGAAGGGAGGAAUAUAAAUAAAGUGAUUAUUAUUAUUAUUAUUAUUAUUAUUAUUAUUAUUAUUAUUAUUAUUACGCUUAAAAUAAGAAUUAUUGCUAAUAUUUUGAGAAAACUCAUUUUUUAGUGGCAGGUUUACUCUAUGUAUUUAAAUAAUUGCCAACUUGAUAGCAGCUCACUAGGUGAACAGAAUAACCAAACACUCACAACUGGGAACAGAUGCUGCCUAAGAAAUACUUCAUGAUAGUUUGAAAAUGUUAUCAGACAGGCAGAAUGCUAAUUCAUCACUCAGUUUGAUCACAACAGAAUGUGAAUGUAACAAACACUCAUGAGCUUUAAUCAACAAAUGGGCCAGCUAUAGAUUGACAAAGCAUUGUCCAAAGUACUUAAAGAACAACAAUAACAAAGCUUGGACUUAAUUGCAUACCUGAAAUAUUUUCUAUUGAUUUGCAGUAGAUUUAUGACACCAUUGUAAAACUACCCUAUAAUCCGCUAUAACAUAUAAAAAAGGUUUUACAAAAUAUAAAAGGAAUGAAAUGUAUAAUGUUCAAAAAUCACAGCAUCAAUAAUCUACUGUUCUAAAGCCACUUACCCAAAAUAGUGUCAUUGAAUAAAUGCUAUGAAUGAGUGAAUGAGUGAAUGAUAAAUCUACUUGAUAUCAGAAGAGGAGGAAAUAAUAGUAGUACUAAUGGAGAAUGAGAAGAAAAAAGAACUCUGACAGUAACGUUGGCACUCAUCCUAGGGAUGAGUCAUAUUGCAAAACUACCCACCUACCUCACA
Anolis carolinensis (green anole) is the source of this 1905-nucleotide long non-coding RNA. Lineage: Eukaryota; Metazoa; Chordata; Lepidosauria; Squamata; Anolidae. The record is from Ensembl.